This 21-nucleotide non-coding RNA is filed under the name Caenorhabditis elegans. Lineage: Eukaryota; Metazoa; Nematoda; Chromadorea; Rhabditida; Rhabditidae. The record is from RNAcentral.
UGAAUCCAUUAUUGUUAUUGA